CGGCAAACUGGUCCACUGUGGGCUGUAGAGUUGUGGAGACGUCUAAUGAGAAAACUAUCUGUGCCUGUAGUCAUCUUACAAAUUUUGCACUGAUUAUGGAUGUUUACGAAACCAAUAAAAAUGCAAAUGUGGAAGACGACAAAGCUCUAUCCAUUAUUACUUACGUUGGUUGUGGCACGUCCACAUUCGGACUGGCCUUGACUUUAUUUGUGUACUCAGUUUACAGAAAACUGAGAAGCCAGGAGUCCUCGCUCAUCAUAUACAACCUGUGUUGGGCAAUGUUCCUAUUUAACUGUGUGCUGUU
Molecule: long non-coding RNA, 304 nt
Organism: Physella acuta
Lineage: Eukaryota; Metazoa; Mollusca; Gastropoda; Physidae
Source: RefSeq, a predicted model, not a curated record